This 70-nucleotide ribosomal RNA is filed under the name uncultured soil eukaryote. Its description in RNAcentral is "partial 5.8S ribosomal RNA". It matches the Rfam family "5.8S ribosomal RNA", at positions 89 to 154 of the family's 154-position model. Rfam says of the family: 5.8S ribosomal RNA (5.8S rRNA) is a component of the large subunit of the eukaryotic ribosome. The record is from RNAcentral.
AUAUCGAGUUCUUGAACGCACAUUGCGCCCCAUGGUAUUCCAUGGGGCAUGCCUGUCUGAGCGUCGUUUC